AGUGAAUCUACCUUCCGACAGCUCCUGGACAUACAGACAGAGGGGGUUUAAGAUCAAUAUGUGAACAGUGCUGGGCCACACCUGGCUGUGUGUUAGCUUCAUAUUCAUACUGGAUGUUCUGAAGGCACCUCUAAAGAUCUAUGAUUUGUAACAAGUAAUUUGACAAGUAAUACUCCAUAGUAUUUAUAAAGACAAUGUGUUCUUUUAUCACAGCUCUGCACCUGCAGCCUGUUAUCAGCCUGAUUCCACUAAUUCAAGUCUUCUCACUUUCUCUGAUUUGUGUAGGUGUGGGUUUUGGGGUUAUGACAAUAUAUGACUGAUUAUUUGACUUCUGGUAGUGUUUCCCCAGGUGAACGACCAACGUAGGAGGGCAAGAAAGGGGUGAGCGGGUUGGUGGAGGGAUGUGGGGUAGGCAGUCGUAAAUUGACUGUGGCAUUUGAUUGGGAGAAGCUUUUUAACCUGAGUUUAGUCCUUGAUAAUCAGGAGGAAUCCCAUAAGAACAGCAGAGGAAGGACGGACAGAGAGAGAGAGGAGGAGAGGAGGGACUACCAGAGAAAGAGGGACGUGUAGGAACAGCAGCUGAAUCCCAUUAUAUCAGACACUGUCAACAUGCAAUCCUCCACUCCCAUUUUCCAGUAAAACCUCCACUCCACCCACUGCUUCGCUCCAGCUAUCCCGAGCGAGAGGCAGCCCCAGCUGGGCUGAGGAUGCGUAGGACCUCCCCUCUCCUCCUGGCUCUCCUAGUACUCCUGCUGCUCCCACCACCCUCCCAACUGAGGAAGGCAGGCCAGGGAAGGCGGCUCAAAGUAGGCAGACGCCUCCUCAGACGGGACAGGGUGAGAGGUCAGGGGCGCCAGGGCAGGUCAGGAGACUCCAGGCAUCAGGUCCCUGAAUGCUCAGAGUACAGCGACUCUGAAGACCUCUUCGUGGACUGCCAAGGGCGAAAACUUUCCUCCAUCCCCACUGCCUCAUCCUGGUCACGGGCUCCAGACCACCUCCUGCUGGCCCGUAACCGUAUCCGGGCCCUCCACGACGGGGCCUUCUCUGGCUUCGAGGGCCUCAGGAGCCUGGACCUGCAGCAGAACCGGAUCUCAGUGUUGGAGGAGGGGGUGUUCCUGGGCCUGAUACACCUCACCACCCUUCUGCUGCAGCACAACCGUCUGGGCACGCUCAGCGAGGAGGCUCUCAUCCCCAUGCCAGCCCUGCGCUACCUGCGUCUCCAUGACAACCCCUGGAGCUGCCGCUGCACACUCGACAGUCUGGUUCGCACCCUGCAGGUGCCCAGCAACCGUAACCUGGGGAACCAUGCCAGGUGUGCGGAGCCAGUUGGGCUGAGGGGCAGGAAGCUGAGACAGGUGGACCCAGAGCUGCUGUGUGUGGAGCUGGAGCCUCCCAGCGACCCCCCAGACCCGCAGUGGGAGGACCAGAGGGACUCCACAUACCCUCUGCAGCCCAUCCCCAUCAGGGGCAAGCCUGACGCCACCACCUCCUGCCAUACCUACCUGUUCCCCACACCCCGACUGGACUGCAGAAGCAGAGAUCUGGCGGAGGUUCCUGCAGACAUCCCAGGGGACAUGGUUCACAUGGACCUGUCCCAAAAUACCCUCCGGCGCCUGAAGGCCAGAGACUUUGUGGAGGCCAGAAGCCUAAGGUCACUCAAUCUCAGCGACAACAACUUGGAGGACAUGGACACAGGUGUGUGUCCUCCCUGUCUGGCCUUCUCCACCUCCAUGAGUUGGACCUUUCCAACAACAACCUGCACUUCUUCCACUAUGGUGUUCUAGAAGACCUCUAUUUCCUGUCCCUGCUAAGGUUGGGGGGAAACCCCUGGGUCUGUGACUACAGCAUCCACUACCUGGUGUACUGGCUACGUCUGCACCCAGGGGUGAGCCACUCUGGCCUGCUGUGCCACUCCCCUCCUGAGCUCAGAGGAAAGAGUGUGGAGGACUAUGUUCACUCCUACAACAGAGCCUGCAGCCAGACAGAGCACAGUCAGACGGAAUACGGCCAGACAGAUCCAGAAUUGUGGGUCACAUCUAUGGAGCUGCAGGAGGAGAUGGAACCGGCACAUCUGAGAGGACAGCAGAAAUACCACGUCACCAGGUUGAAUUAACAAACUACCCCAGGAUGGAAUGACUGACACAUUGAACACAUUUAAAUACGUUGUCUUUUUAUAGAGCAUUCAAAUUAAUUCUGUAUCAGAUGGUAAACUUGAACUUUGUUCAAUAUUGUUGUUCCUGCUUUGUCCCAAAAAACAAGAAAUAACAAUCCAAGUAGAUAUAUUGGAUUGAGCAUAUGUGAGAAUCCAGAAUAUAAAUGUGGUGUGUAUAGACCGUAUAUAAUUUGGGAAAGAAAAUGGUAUGUACAGUAUUAGGAUGAGCUAUAUCUAGAAUACAAUAUAUACAUACACAGUGAGUAAACAACAGUAUAUAAAACAGAAUAUGAGGUGACCAGCAUUCAAUACAUAUUUUUGGGGCGGCAGGUAGCCUAGUGGUUAGAGCUUUGGGCCAGUAACCCGAAAGGUUGCUGGAUCGAAUUGACAAGGUAAAAAUCUGUCCUUCUGCCCCUGAACAAGGCAGUUAACCCACUGUUCCUCGGUAGGCCGUCAUUGUAAAUAAGAAUUUGUUCUUAACUGACUUGCCUAGUUAAAUAAAAAUGGCUCUACAUAAAUGGGGCAUUAGUCUGUAGGCCUUGAUGUACUGCAGGUCUACUCAAACCUUUCACCCAUACGGUUUAUGCCAUUUUGCACUCCCAUUGUGAGUCAAUCUGAAGCCAUUUCAUUUUGAGAGCACACAGCAGAACAAUCUCUCUGCCCCCAUUCCUCUUGCUAUUUCCCACAAUUAUAUUAAGAUUUUGCCUUCAAAAAAAAAAUACUGAACAAACUGUCAAAGCAUUUAGGAGCCCUGCUCCUUUCCCAAACAUAGUCAUGGCCCAGGAAUAUUUAUUUGGCAAGAUGUUUGAUUAAAAAAAAAAAAGGCAUAGUAAUCUCUGCCAAGAAAUACGCCUUUGUGCCAUAGCUACUCUGUAACUGCUAGAUUCCUACAGAAUGGUCCCAGACAAAACAGUCCUGUAUAAUACUAUUAUAGGUAUGCAUUUAUUUUAUAUGACCCAUUUCCUAGCAUACCCCCACACUAAACAUGAACCACUGCUGAUUAGUUUCCCUGCGGUUACAACACCCCUGGCCCUACAAAUCAAAAACAAGUCACUAAAAAUGUCCUUUGCUAGCAGACAUAAAACAUACAGGGGUACUUGUUAUGGGGUAACUGCUUUCAGAAAUGGGUCCAAUGACACUAUCAUCCAGAGAACGAGAGAGCCAUUCCAUCCACAUAAACCCAAUUCAAAAUAAAAUAAAUUAGAGUGCGCGAACGCUGGAAAUAGAAUGCAUAUAGUGUGUGAUGACGGCCCAUGUACAAUUAGCACAAGAUGCUGCGCGGUGAAACACCACUUCCCAUUCAUUUCAAUGGGGGGGAGCGGUGAGAACCGGAGAGGUCGUGGGUCCUUUGGGCGGUGCAAAGGUGGCGUGGGAGGCGGUGAAACAUAAACUUUUCCCAAAUGUAUGGAAAGUCAGCAGCGGUGACCAAUCAUAACGAGUGGCUCCCAUGACGAAUUUGACACUAUUCGACCCAAGGCUGGAGACUUUCUUUAGCAAAGACGGCUGACAAAAAUACUAGGAUGGAAGCAAAUGUAAGUGAUUAUAACGCCAUAACAAAUCAUGCAAAAAAAGUUAAUGUAGAGACAAACGAUUAUGCAUUUUUUUGUCGUAAAGUUUAUUUACGAAAAUCGCGAUUUGACUGUCUAACAUUCGCCAGCUAGCUGGCUAGCGUUAUGGGUGUUGUGACAUGAGUAUGAAAUUGUCAUUCUGGCUGUAUGGACUCCUGAAACAACCAACAAACCAGGCUGUCGUCUUGUGAAACAGUGGAUGUAAAGAAUCUAGCUAGCUAAAGCAUUUACUGCACAUUUAAUGUACAAUUGUGUAAGCUUGCCUUGCUGAUAUUUGCCAUGCAAUACAGAUAGGUUAAAUAAAGUAGCUAGUUAACUCAUUUCUUGCUUAUUGUGCAAUGGAGAAUU
Molecule: RNA transcript, 4068 nt
Organism: Oncorhynchus kisutch (coho salmon)
Lineage: Eukaryota; Metazoa; Chordata; Actinopteri; Salmoniformes; Salmonidae
Gene name: leucine-rich repeat-containing protein 17
Exons: 8
Source: RefSeq, a predicted model, not a curated record